RNAcentral lists this long non-coding RNA (4238 nucleotides) under Sus scrofa (pig). RNAcentral's name for it is "lncRNA (ENSSSCG00000060998.1)". The record is from RNAcentral. Lineage: Eukaryota; Metazoa; Chordata; Mammalia; Artiodactyla; Suidae.
AGUGUCUUCUGAUUGUCAUGGCAUAAAUAGUUUGAUCCUGGGCAGUCUCAAGCUACUACUUGAUGUCAUUGAACAUGGAGUUGUGCAUCAUAGGCUCUUGAAAGUCAAAGCAAGUUAAUUCUAGUACACCAUUGGGGAAGGGAGAAGAAACAGCAAAUACAAAUGAGUCAGGUCAUAGGAAACAUGUAGCUCUGGCAAUAAGCACUGAAGUUAUCACAUCAUGUACAAAAUAGAGCAAUAAGUGUUGGCAGUCUGAAUUGAAAUGAAUAACGUUAAAUUUACCAAGUAGGCAGACUAAGCACAUACUUAGGGCACCAGUAGAGUAGAAGAACCAAGGAAAGGAAAAGAAAAAAAUUAUCUCUGAAGAAAUUAUUAAUAAGUUUGUAAUCAGUAAAUUUGGAAGAAAUGUCAAAGAAAAAUUAUUAUAACUCUUGUUAAAGUGGUAAGGGAGACUUUUUUCAAGAUUAUUGUAACAGAGGAGAGACUAUUGCAAUAGGGGAGAGCGACUGAACUCAACUUCAAAUAUAGCAAUGACAGUUGAAUGUUUACACAGCUUAUGAGCAGAGUGAGAGGGUCAGUGGAUAGAACAUUACUAAGAGGAGACCUCAAGGUUAGGGAUAUUCUUGCCGAACUAUCUUAACAGGUAGGCCAAAGUUGAAUCUUAGUCAAGAAGAGGUCUCAGAGAAACCUAAUUAAAGUUUGGUCAAGGAGGGUGUCUUUAUCAGAAGCUAUUUUAAUUUUAACAUGCAUAUAAGUUUAGAAAUAUUGAAUUAUAAUAGAAAUGAGAGUACCUCAAUCUUUUUAAUUCUUAGAGCUUCUAGUUCUGGAGAUGGGGAAAAGAUAUUUGGAGAGAGUCAAAAGAUAUUAAUGCUGUAGAAAUAGAAUUUCCUGGCUGAUUAGGGAUAAGAGAGAGGAAUAAAUCAAGAAUUACCCCACUUUUCUAACUUCUGCAACUUAUUUGAUGGUAGUGCCUGUGAUUUGGUAACAUUUGAAGUGGAGAACAUUUGGAAAUAAUAUGUAUCAGACAUAUUUGAAUUCGAAGUACUUCAAAAACAUCAAGUGGAGAUGUCCAAUAGGCAGUCAAGCUUAUAAAUUUGAAGCUCAGCAGAGAAAAUGUGGCUGGAUUUAUAUGUUUGUGAGUCAUAAGUAUAUAGCCUGUAAUUUUAACCAAGAAAAUUCCUCUUAGGAAAAGGAUAUAGAGUGAGAAAAGAGAAGAGGGUCAAGAAAAGAUCCCUGAGGAACCCCAAUUUAUGGAAGAAUCCAGCAAAGGAGACUGAGGAAUGGUUAGUAGGGUAAGAGGAAAAUUAAUAGACAAUGGUGUCCCAGGGCCCAAGAGAGGUAACUCUUUCAAAGAAGGAAUUAUCAACUGUUAGGGCAUCACGAAAGAAGACAACAGAGAUGUGUCCAUUGGAUUUGGCAACAUGGAGGUCUUCAGUGCCCUUGACAAGCGUAGUUUCAGUGGUGUGAUGGAGAUGGAAGCCAUUUCAGAGUGCACUGAAGAAUGAAUGGGAAAUUAGGAAGAGGAGUCAAUGAGAAUAGAUAAUUCCUGAGAAAAAAUUUAAUCUCAAGAGCUGUUGAGAAAUUGAGUGGUAGGGGUAGGUGGAGAGGAAUAUGGAUCAAGGGAGAGAUUUUCAAAGAUGAAUGAUACUAGAGCAGGUUUAGGUGCUACCAUGAUCUAUUAGAAUGAUCUAUCUAGUACAGAGGGAGAGAUUAAGGAUGUAAGUGAAGUCUAUGAAGAUACUGGAUCAAAAUGGAUGCAGAAUACAGGUGGAGAAAUGACCUUAAACAGCAGGCACUCAUAAUGUGUAAACUCACUUUUUGGCACAGACAUUAUUGAUAGAAUGUCUCACAGUCUGUGGAUAGAUGGAACAUCAGGACAUGAAAAUAUUGUAGCAUUUAGACUCUUCUGAUGUUUUUAAAACCUGUACCCCCAGUCUCUUCAUUAAUAAAAUAGUUAUAUCACCUUCAGAACAGGGGGCCCCUCAAAACAACAGAGACUUGUGUUUCAUUUUAACAACUAUUUUUUGAAUACUUAAAUUGUGCUAUGCAAUGCUCUAAAUGCUGGAAAUAAAAUAGCGAACAAGCUAUACCUGGUUAUUUCUCUUAUAGAGCUUAGAGUCUAGUGGGAGAAAAGUAUAUCAAACAAAUAACUAUAAUGCAGUGUGAUAAGAUCUAUGAUUGGAGAAGUACUCUGUCAAUGCAUAGGAAGGACACUACAUCUUAUCUGGGAAUAGAAGAGUUAGAGUCAGAGAACUUCUAGAAAGAGAUAUUAAAUUGGCAUAUGAAAGAUAAAUGAGUUAUCCAGAAGAAUGAGGUCAAGAAGUAGGGUGUAAGGAAGAGUUCCAGUUACAUGUAACCAUAUCGAUGAAGACCUUGACACAGAGGGAGUGUGAUGCAGUUGAAGAUCAUAAGGUCAGGGUGACUGGACUUCAGAGAGUGAAAGGUGGGAGACCAGCCUAGAGAGGUGGCAGGGACCAGAUUAUGCAUGGUCUUACAUACUAUGUUCAGGAUUCUGGUAUUUAUUGCAAGACCCACGGGAAGACAUAGAAGGGAUAUAGGCAAGGAAAAGAGCUCAGACAGGAUUUAUAUUUUGAAAACAUGCUAGCUGCAAUGCUAAGAAUUGAUUGGAGGGGCCAAGAGUAAAGUCUGCAGAGUUGAGAGGAUAUUGCAGUAGUAGGGAUGAGAAAUUGUGAUGACAUUUGCUAGGAUAAUAGUGGUAGAGAUGGAGAGAAGUAGAAGUAUUUUAGAAUUAUUUGGAAAUUAAUAGCUCUUGAUAAAGAACUGGAUAUGGAGAAUGAAGAAGCAGGAUCGGGUCAAUGAUUCCUAGGUUUUUGGCUUGAACAACUGGUUGGAUGAGAUGAUAGCAGCUUUUACUGAGAGAAGAAAGGCAGAGUAGGAGCCUGGGGGUGAAGGUAGAGACUGGAGAUAAUCAAAGUUUGCUUUUUAAGAAGGACUAACUCACUGUCAUCAUUCUCCUAUCAGAUGUAGUUGCUAAGACUCCAACCUUAAAAAUGCCAAGAAUAUCUGAAAAGCUCCAGUAUUACUUUUAUCUUCUUUUUCUUUUUUUCUUUUUAUAACCACACCUGCAGCAUUUGAAAGUUCCUAGGCUAGGGUCGAAUCAGAGGUGUUGGUGAAUAUGCCAUGGCAACACCAGAUCCUUAACCCACUGAGUGAGGCCAGGGAUCAAACUUGCAAACUAAUGGAUUGAACCCGCAACCUCAUGGUUCCUAGUCAGAUUCCUCUCUGCUGCACCACGACGGGAAAUCCUUUUUAUCUUCUUAAUAUCUUGAGUGGCUAUGGAUGGAUGAAGGGUUUAGCUUAUUUUUUUUUUUUUUACUUACUAUCCUUGACCUUCAUAGUUCAUUUUUAUUAUACUUCUUUUUCUGACAUCAUUAUUGCAUUUUUUGAGCCAUAUUUACCAAUAGACCAACAGUGCAUUUAUGUUCUUGAUGAAUUCAACUCUUAGUAGGGACACAAAUUUAUAGUAGGAACACUAUAGGUAUAUGCUUCUUACUUUUUUAUUGUGUACUUUUUCAAACAUGUGUAUAUAUAAGAAUACAGUAAUAGAUUACUGUACUCUCAUCAACCAACUUCAAUAUUUAUCAAUUUACUGCCAAUCAUAUUUAAUUCCUCUAGAGAGUAUGGGCUUUAAAGGAAAAUAACUUCAAUAUCAUUAUUAUUCAUAAAACAAUUUAAAAUAUUCCUUAAUAUUAUAACAUUUCCAUUUAGUGUUUUAAUUUUCCUGAAUGCCUAAUUUUUCUUUUACAGUUUGUUUGAAACAGGACUCAAAUAAGGUCCAUACUUUAUUUUUGUUUAUGUCAAGUCUCUCAAUUUGUUGGUUCUCUGUCUGUUUUUAUUUUUAAAUUAUUGUUUCAGUUUAUUUUUUGAAGAAAAUUUGUUUAUCCUGUAAAGUUUCUCACAUUCUAGAUUUUGCUCAUCACAUUUUUGAAGUGUUAACAUAUGCUUCCUGGUAGAUCUGGAACCUUGAUCUGAUACAACAUUGAUUUUUUUUCUUUUGUUUUUGGAAUUCACGUUGUGGUGCAACAGAAAUGAAUCUGACUAGUAUCCAUGAAAAUGCGGGUUUGAUCCCUGGCCUCGCUCAGUGGGUCGGGGAUCUGGUGUUGCCGCAAGCUGUGGUGUAGGUCACAGACAUGGCUUGGAUCCUGGGUUGCUGUGGCUGUGGCGUAGGCCAGCAGCUGUCACCUCAAUACGACCCCUAGCCUGGGAACUUACAUAUG